CCUACGGGAGUCAGCAGUGAGGAAUAUUGGUCAAUGGGAGUAAUCCUGAACCAGCCAUGCCGCGUGCAGGACGAAGGUUCUACGAAUUGUAAACUGCUUUUGUAAGGGGGUAAAGUGCCUGACGUGUAGCGUUUUGUAAGUACGUUAUGAAUAAGGAUCGGCUAACUCCGUGCCAGCAGCCGCGGUAAUACGGAGGAUCCGAGCGUUAUCCGGAUUCAUUGGGUUUAAAGGGUGCGUAGGCGGUCUUAUAAGUCAGCGGUGAAAGACUGUGGCUCAACCACAGAAUUGCCGUUGAUACUGGGAGGCUUGAGUACGGUUGAGGCAGGCGGAAUGUGUGGUGUAGCGGUGAAAUGCUUAGAUAUCACGCAGAACACCGAUUGCGAAGGCAGCCUGCUAGGCCAGGACUGACGCUGAUGCACGAAAGCGUGGGGAUCGAACAGGAUUAGAUACCCUGGUAGUC
This 460-nucleotide ribosomal RNA is filed under the name uncultured bacterium. Its description in RNAcentral is "partial 16S ribosomal RNA". It matches the Rfam family "Bacterial small subunit ribosomal RNA", at positions 338 to 795 of the family's 1533-position model. The record is from RNAcentral.